GCACUUUGGCGGAGUGGUUAACGCGCGGGCCUGCUAAGCCCGUUCCUUCGGGAGCCUGGGUUCGAAUCCCAGAGGUGU
This 78-nucleotide transfer RNA is filed under the name Xylaria cubensis. RNAcentral describes it as "tRNA-Ser". It matches the Rfam family "tRNA". From Rfam's summary of the family: Transfer RNA (tRNA) molecules are approximately 80 nucleotides in length. Their secondary structure includes four short double-helical elements and three loops (D, anti-codon, and T loops). Further hydrogen bonds mediate the characteristic L-shaped molecular structure. tRNAs have two regions of fundamental functional importance: the anti-codon, which is responsible for specific mRNA codon recognition, and the 3' end, to which the tRNAs corresponding amino acid is attached (by aminoacyl-tRNA synthetases). tRNAs cope with the degeneracy of the genetic code in two manners: having more than one tRNA (with a specific anti-codon) for a particular amino acid; and 'wobble' base-pairing, i.e. permitting non-standard base-pairing at the 3rd anti-codon position. The record is from RNAcentral. Lineage: Eukaryota; Fungi; Ascomycota; Sordariomycetes; Xylariales; Xylariaceae.